Haliotis rubra (blacklip abalone) is the source of this 237-nucleotide long non-coding RNA. RefSeq lists it as uncharacterized. NCBI's taxonomy places the organism in Eukaryota, Metazoa, Mollusca, Gastropoda, Lepetellida, Haliotidae. The record is from RefSeq and is a predicted model, not a curated record. The transcript has 3 exons.
UCUUCAGCGGUCUUGUGGCUUAUAGUUACUACGACUACAAAAGAUGUGAUCCCAUUGCAUCAAAUCAAAUCGACAGCUUUGAUCAGAUUUUACCCUUCAUGAUCAUCGACAUUUUCCGGAACCUGCCAGGAAUGCCAGGCCUGUUUCUUGCAGCACUCUUCAGUGCUUCUCUCAGUUCGUUAUCGUCUGGACUAUCAGCUCUGUCAAACAUCACAUGGGAGGACUUUGUAAAGCCCC